This is a long non-coding RNA of Zophobas morio, 206 nucleotides long. RefSeq lists it as uncharacterized. NCBI's taxonomy places the organism in Eukaryota, Metazoa, Arthropoda, Insecta, Coleoptera, Tenebrionidae. The record is from RefSeq and is a predicted model, not a curated record. The transcript is spliced from 3 exons.
CAUAACUUCCUUAAUGUACUUGAAGAUUUCGAAAAAUUACUUUCAUCUUGUGAAUUUUAUUCUAUAGAUGAAGAGAUGACCGGUAUAUUUUUAUCGGGCAAGAGAGAAGAAGUUGGGGCGACUCCUGAACAAAACUGGGCUUUGAAAAGGGAAGUAGCUUCUACUUUUUCUAUUAUUCAAUUCGGCAUUUGCUUAUUUCAUAGAGA